UGCGCAGGCGGGAACGUAAGUGCUUUGUGAAAGCCCAUGGCUCAACCAUGGAAGUGCUUGGCAAACUACGUUUCUUGAGGUCGGUAGAGGCUGUCGGAACUGUAGGUGUAGCGGUGAAAUGCGUAGAUAUCUACAGGAACACCAAAGACGAAGGUGGGCAGCUGGGCCGAUUCUGACGCUGAGGCACGAAAGCGUGGGUAGCGAACAGGAUUAGAUACCCUGGUAGUCC
Molecule: ribosomal RNA, 229 nt
Filed under: uncultured bacterium
Lineage: Bacteria
Description: partial 16S ribosomal RNA
Rfam family: Bacterial small subunit ribosomal RNA
Source: RNAcentral